This 800-nucleotide ribosomal RNA is filed under the name Vreelandella venusta. RNAcentral describes it as "bacterial SSU rRNA". It matches the Rfam family "Bacterial small subunit ribosomal RNA", at positions 35 to 829 of the family's 1533-position model. Lineage: Bacteria; Pseudomonadati; Pseudomonadota; Gammaproteobacteria; Oceanospirillales; Halomonadaceae. The record is from RNAcentral.
GAUCAUGGCGCUGCCGUAUCAUAGCAAGUCGAGCGGUAGCAUAGAGAAGCUUGCUUCUUGGGUGACGAGCGGCGGACGGGUGAGUAAUGCAUAGGAAUCUGCCCGAUAGUGGGGGAUAACCUGGGGAAACCCAGGCUAAUACCGCAUACGUCCUACGGGAGAAAGGGGGCUUCGGCUCCCGCUAUUGGAUAAGCCUAUGUCGGAUUAGCUAGUUGGUGAGGUAAAGGCUCACCAAGGCGACGAUCCGUAGCUGGUCUGAGAGGAUGAUCAGCCACAUCGGGACUGAGACACGGCCCGAACUCCUACGGGAGGCAGCAGUGGGGAAUAUUGGACAAUGGGCGCAAGCCUGAUCCAGCCAUGCCGCGUGUGUGAAGAAGGCCUUCGGGUUGUAAAGCACUUUCAGCGAGGAAGAACGCCUAGCGGUUAAUACCCGCUAGGAAAGACAUCACUCGCAGAAGAAGCACCGGCUAACUCCGUGCCAGCAGCCGCGGUAAUACGGAGGGUGCAAGCGUUAAUCGGAAUUACUGGGCGUAAAGCGCGCGUAGGUGGCUUGAUAAGCCGGUUGUGAAAGCCCCGGGCUCAACCUGGGAACGGCAUCCGGAACUGUCAAGCUAGAGUGCAGGAGAGGAAGGUAGAAUUCCCGGUGUAGCGGUGAAAUGCGUAGAGAUCGGGAGGAAUACCAGUGGCGAAGGCGGCCUUCUGGACUGACACUGACACUGAGGUGCGAAAGCGUGGGUAGCAAACAGGAUUAGAUACCCUGGUAGUCCACGCCGUAAACGAUGUCGACCAGCCGUUGGGUG